GACGUAGGAGGCGAGCGUUGUCCGGAGUUACUGGGCGUAAAGCGCGCGCAGGCGGCCCUGUGCGCUGCCGGUGAAAGCUCCCGGCUUACCUGGGAGAGGUUCGGCAGGACGGCAGGGCUGGAGGGUGGGAGAGGUCGGUGGAAUUCCCGGUGUAGUGGUGAAAUGCGUAGAGAUCGGGAGGAACACCCGUAGCGAAGGCGGCCGACUGGACCACACCUGACGCUGAGGCGCGAAGGCCAGGGGAGCGAACGGG
Molecule: ribosomal RNA, 253 nt
Filed under: uncultured bacterium
Lineage: Bacteria
Also listed under: 1 other name
Description: partial 16S ribosomal RNA
Rfam family: Bacterial small subunit ribosomal RNA
Source: RNAcentral